Oncorhynchus keta (chum salmon) is the source of this 9500-nucleotide RNA transcript. It is a transcript of the gene named excitatory amino acid transporter 1-like, with no coding region annotated. Lineage: Eukaryota; Metazoa; Chordata; Actinopteri; Salmoniformes; Salmonidae. The record is from RefSeq and is a predicted model, not a curated record. The transcript is spliced from 12 exons.
GCUCACUGGCCCUUUCAUUCCCUCUCUCCCUCAUUCCCUCUCUCCCUCCUCUCCAGCACUGGUUGUACCAUCUCCGACUUAAAGAGCUACUCUUCUCUGUUGUUUAUUGACUGAGAUUUUCCCCAAAUAACCCUGCAAAGGCCAAGAAAUUACUCCCUAAAGGAAGGUAUCCCAAAGUUUAAAGAUUGUCUCAUCUCAGCUCUAAGACCAGUGUGGGGAGCCGGACACAGAAUCAGGAUCUAUAGGUCCUCACAGGUGUUGGGAAUAUAGUGGUACCAGCAACAGCACUACCGGCAACUAUGACCAAGAGCAACGGGGAGAACCCGCAGGCCCGAAGCCGAGUCAGACAGAUCCGCGAUGGCCUCCAGUCCCGUUCCCUGAAGGCUGUGCAGAGGGUGGAGAGUGUCACUAAGGAUGACGUCAAGGGUUUCUUCCGCAGAAACGCCUUUGUGAUCUUCACUGUCGCUGCGGUCAUCAUCGGUAUAGGGCUGGGAUUUGCACUGCGGCCGUACAAGAUGACCUACCGCGAGGUGAAGUAUUUCUCAUUUCCUGGAGAGCUGCUGAUGAGGAUGCUGCAGAUGCUGGUGCUUCCCUUGCUGGUGUCCAGUCUCAUCACAGGCAUUGCAGCAUUGGACAGCCGUGCCUCUGGGAAGAUGGGUAUGCGGGCAGUGGUGUACUACAUGACCACCACAGUCAUCGCAGUCUUCAUCGGCAUCGUCAUGGUGCUCAUCAUCCACCCUGGGAAGGGCUCCAAGGACGAAUUCAAAAAUCAGCAGAAGAUCGAGCAGGUCAGCCCUGCUGACGCUUUCCUGGACCUCAUCAGAAACAUGUUCCCUCCAAACAUUGUGCAAGCUUGCACACAGCAGUUUAAAACGCAGUACGGAAAGAGAGUGGUCCAUGUGAAGAUAACGGUGAAUGAUACCCUCUUCGUCUUGAACGGGACCCAGGGGCAGCAUAUCAUGCGGGAGGAGGUGAUCCCCAUCCCGGGGCAGGUGAACGGGGUCAAUGCCCUGGGUCUGGUCGUGUUCUCCAUAUGCUUCGGUCUCAUCAUUGGCAGCAUGAAGGAGCAGGGAAAGCCCCUCAAGGACUUCUUUGUCUGUCUCAACGAGGCUAUCAUGAGACUGGUGGCCAUUAUCAUGUGGUAUGCACCCGUUGGUAUCCUGUUUCUCAUCGCUGGGAAGAUAGUGGAGAUGGAUGACAUCACAGAAACGGGCGGUCAGUUGGGCAUGUACACAAUAACAGUCAUCAUUGGCCUGUCUAUCCAUGCCUUCCUGGUACUGCCCACACUCUACUUUGUGAUCACACGGAAGAGUCCCUUUGUCUUCAUCUGUGGACUCCUACAGGCUCUCAUCACCGCGUUGGGGACCUCAUCUAGCUCAGCCACGUUGCCCAUCACCUUUAAGUGUCUGGAGGAGAACAAUGGGAUAGAUAAGAGAGUGACACGCUUCGUGCUGCCAGUGGGCGCCACCAUCAACAUGGACGGCACCGCCUUGUACGAAGCUAUCGCGGCUCUCUUUAUAGCCCAGGUCAACAACAUGGACAUGAACUUUGGACAGAUCCUCACUAUAAGCAUCACGGCCACCGCAGCAAGUAUCGGUGCAGCUGGGAUACCACAGGCUGGACUGGUCACCAUGGUGAUUGUGCUGACCUCUGUUGGACUGCCCACUGAUGACAUCACCCUCAUCAUUGCAGUGGAUUGGUUCCUGUGAGUACAGUCUAUUUUCUGUAACAAUUAUUUAUAGUUUGACUGAUAUGAUCAUCUUCUAAAGAAGUUUGGAUAGUUACUGUGUGGACAGAGUCAGACACAGGGAUGACAUUUUAGGAUUUUGGGUCCUGACUAGCUGGACUAGUAGACUGCAGUUUCUAACCAGCCCAUGUGUUUUUCCAUUAGCCAAGGGUCCAAAAUCUAUGCCAUGCCAUAUUUAAGAAGACAGAUUUCGGGCUAUAUUUUAAUAUAUGUUCUACUAGCCUGGUCUGAAAACUAGCCAGUGACUAACGGGUUAGCUUAAUUUCCAUCUCUGGACAGAAACCAAAGCCUUAGGGAAGACUCAGUCGGUAUAGGUAGUGAGAUACUCCCUUCACAUUCCAUUCUCCCCAAUCCAUCUGUUUCUGAUUCUAUCGACAUGUGAUUCCUCUAAAGAUCUCAUGCAUGGGAGUGGCUGAGCGUUUCCACUUUUCUUUUCUGAGUUUAUUUAAACAUACCCAUUGUGUUCAACGAUAAUCAUAAUAUUGUUGUAUUAUAUAUUUUGUAUUGUAGAUAUGUAGUGGUGUAAUAAUUUUACAUUAUGUAGUGUUUUAUAUUUUGUUUUAUAUGUAAUGUACGUGCUUUAAUAUAUUUCGACCCCAGGAAGUGUAGCUGCUGCCUUGACAGGAACUAAUGGACAUCCCUAAUAAACCCCAGGUAGAAUAGCUGCUGCCUUGACAGGAACUAAUGGACAUCCCUAAUAAACCCCAGGUAGAAUAGCUGCUGCCUUGACAGGAACUAAUGGACAUCCCUAAUAAACCCCAGGUAGAAUAGCUGCUGCCUUGGCAGGAACUAAUGGACAUCCCUAAUAAACCCCAGGUAGAAUAGCUGCUGCCUUGGCAGGAACUAAUGGACAUCCCUAAUAAACCCCAGGUAGAAUAGCUGCUGCCUUGGCAGGAACUAAUGGACAUCCCUAAUAAACCCCAGGUAGAAUAGCUGCUGCCUUGACAGGAACUAAUGGACAUCCCUAAUAAACCCCAGGAAGUGUAGCUGCUGCCUUGACAGGAACUAAUGGACAUCCCUAAUAAACCCCAGGUAGAAUAGCUGCUGCCUUGGCAGGAACUAAUGGACAUCCCUAAUAAACCCCAGGUAGAAUAGCUGCUGCCUUGACAGGAACUAAUGGACAUCCCUAAUAAACCCCAGGUAGAAUAGCUGCUGCCUUGACAGGAACUAAUGGACAUCCCUAAUAAACCCCAGGUAGAAUAGCUGCUGCCUUGACAGGAACUAAUGGACAUCCCUAAUAAACCCCAGGUAGAAUAGCUGCUGCCUUGACAGGAACUAAUGGACAUCCCUAAUAAACCCCAGGUAGAAUAGCUGCUGCCUUGACAGGAACUAAUGGACAUCCCUAAUAAACCCCAGGUAGAAUAGCUGCUGCCUUGACAGGAACUAAUGGACAUCCCUAAUAAACCCCAGGUAGAAUAGCUGCUGCCUUGACAGGAACUAAUGGACAUCCCUGAUAAACCCCAGGUAGAAUAGCUGCUGCUUUGACAGGAACUAAUGGAUAUCCCUGAUAAACCCCAGGUAGAAUAGCUGCUGCCUUGGCAGGAACUAAUGGACAUCCCUAAUAAACCCCAGGUAGAAUAGCUGCUGCCUUGACAGGAACUAAUGGACAUCCCUAAUAAAUCCCAGGUAGAAUAGCUGCUGCCUUGACAGGAACUAAUGGACAUCCCUGAUAAACCCCAGGUAGAAUAGCUGCUGCCUUGACAGGAACUAAUGGACAUCCCUAAUAAACCCCAGGUAGAAUAGCUGCUGCCUUGGCAGGAACUAAUGGACAUCCCUAAUAAACCCCAGGUAGAAUAGCUGAUGCCAUGGCAGGACGUAAUGGGCAUACCUAAUAAAUCCUAUUAAAUACAAAUUAUGUCCACAAGUAUGUGAAAUUAUACACCUGGUUUUAGUUUUCCAAACCUCCAAUGGAAAAUGAACUGUUUUUUUUCUCUCUCUAAGACAUAGGCUGGGUAGUGCAUGCAUGCCUUUGCCAAAUGUCACACCAAAGUGUUGCCUCUGUGCAAACCUUGCCUUUUCUUUGGGGAUAAUUUUUUUUAAAGAAAAUGAGUCCCUCGUAGGAAAGCUGAAAGAGUAAUAUUCUGAGUGUUACAUUCCCCUUCUGUACGGUAUAUUAUCUCUAACAACUGGACUCCCUCCAUUUUAUACAGAGACAGGUUGCGUACCACCACUAACGUGCUGGGAGACUCGAUUGGCACAGGUAUUGUUGAGUAUCUGUCUCGUCAUGAGUUACAAUCCAAGGAUGCGGAGAUGGGGAACUCUGUGGUGGAGGAGAAAGACAAGAAAUCAUACCAGCUCAUCGCCCACGAGAACGAGCAUGAAAACGAGAAGCCUCCAGUCAGUGAGACCAAGAUGUAGCACCAAACAGUUUGACCACUGUGGUGUUUUUAAUCCCAUGGUAAAGGGAAGCAACCCAUAUCAAUCCUCAAAACACAACAAACAAAAAAUGAUAGUGUUUGUUUAGACCAAGAAGCUGAACCAAGAGUAUGUACAGGAUGUAUUUGAUUUUAUCAAGAGUUCUGCAGCCGUUCGUGCUGAUUAGAUUUCAUUGAAUAACUUAUUGAUAUGGAUCGAAUCAAGAAGAUACAGUGGGGUCUGAAAUCAUUAACACCGUUGAUAAAAAUCAACAAAAAUGACCGUAUCAAAUAAGUAAUUCAAUUACUGAGUUAUAUUGUAUGCACAAAAAAAUGAAAGUAAAAUUAUUUUAUACUUAUAGAAUUGUGCGGGGAAAAAAAUAGAUUUUGUUUAACAAGUCGUGUAUUCUUUUUUCAAAAAAGUAAGGGUCAAAAUAAUUGACACCCCUGUUUUCAAUACCUUGUGAGGAUAACUACACUGAGCCUUUUGAUAAAAUAUUUUAUGAGUUGGAGAACACAUUGGGAGGGAUCUUGCGCUUAUGGACUGACAUGAAAACACCUGUGGUUUGAAUUGAAGAGGGUAGGCCAUAAGUGCAGACAAAGGAUAUCAAGGAUCUGGAAAUAUUCUGUAUGGAGGAAUGGUCGAAGAUCCCAAUGUGUUCUCCAAUCUUAUAACACAUUUUUAGAAAAAGGCUCAGUGUCAUUAUUUUCGCAAGGGGAUGUAAAAAAAAAAGAAGAUAUAUAUAUAUCACUCGUUAAACAAUAUCCGAUUUCUCUGAGCAAUUGUAUAAGUACAAAAUAAUAUAAUUUUUAAAAGAAAUGGAGCAUACAACAUAGCUCAGUAUUUUAAUGAUUUUAAACAGUAUUUUUUCUCAUCUUUAACAGUGGUGGAAUAGGUACUCAAUUGUCAUACUUGAGUAAAAGUAAAGAUACCUUCGAAGAAAAUGACUCAAGUAAAAGUGAGAGUCACCCAGUAAAAUAAUACUUGAGUAAAAGUCUACAAGUAUUUGGUUUAUAAUAUACUUAAGUAUCGAAAGUAAAAGGAAUUGCUUAAAUAUAGUUAAGUAUCAAAAGUAAAAGUAUGGCUCAAAUCCCCGAGCUGACAAGGUACAAAUCUGUCGUUCUGCCCCUGAACAAGGCAGUUAAACCCACUGUUCCUAGGCCGUCAUUGAAAAUAAGAAUUUGUUCUUAACUGACUUGCCUAGUUAAAUAAAGGUAAAAUAAAAAAUAAAAAUAAACCAGUUCACAGUCCUUACAUUAAGAAAUCCAAACAGCACAAUUGAUUUUUUAUUUUUUUAUUGACGGAUCGCCAGGGGCACACUCAGACGUAAUUUACAAACGAAGCGCUUGUGUUUAGUGAGUCCGCCAGAUCAGAGGCAGUACGGAUCACCAGGGAUGUUCUCUUGAUAAGUGUGUGAAUUGGACCAUUUUCCUGUCAAAAUGUAACGAGUACUUUUGGGUGUCAGGGAAAAUGUAUGGAGUAAAAAGUACAUUAUUUUCUUUAGCAAUGUAGUGAAGUAAAAGGAGGCAAAAAUAUAAAUAGUAAUGUACAGAUUCCCCCCAAAAACGACUUAAAUAGUACUUUAAAGUAUUUUUACUUAAGUACUUUACACCACUGAUCUUUAUGGGUGUCAACCAUUUCGGACCCUACUGUAAAUCAAUGGUUUUAAGUGCAUAGUAUGAAUUAAAUACAUAAAAUGUUGAACUUCUGAAAUAGAUACCCAGCAAACAAUAAUGAGUCAUUAGGACAUCCCCAGGAUGUCACAAAAUGGUCGCCUAAAGUUGUCAGGACGUUGUGUCAUGGUCCCUCCUGGAGGUUUUUGUCUAGUUUCCUGUUCGUCCCCUAAAGGUCGCAAAGAAAUGUUCUCCCCUGUAGUUUCCUUACACAUCAUCCCCUGAUCAGCAUAUCCUAAAUCCAGAGUUUGUGAGUUAGAAAGGAAGUUGGGGUCAUAUAGUCAGUAAGAAGUGAUCAUGUCAAAUGUAAUCAUUGAUUAUAGAUUUUUACACUAUUUUAGAUGAACAGCCUACCACUUACCUGAAAACCGCCAUAUCGUUAUAUUACUUAUAACGGUUUAUGACACAUGGGACCAUCACGUGACAAAAACUUCCAGGGGACCAUGACACAACAUCCCAAGAAUGUUCAGGGGACCUUCAGGCUACCAUGACACAACGUCCUAAAAACGUCCUCAGGACAAACUAGGAACUAUAAAAAGGUCCCCCAGAGAAUGUUCCCUUGGGACCAUCCCAAACCCUUAAGGAACCUAACUGGGAACAGAGCUGAUUGUCCUCAGUACAUCCCCUGUUUUCUGGGUAGGGAAUAACUAAGAGUCCCUGAAACUUUUCUAUAAGAUGCCUUUACCAUACCCUUUUAUGGUGUUUAAAGUUCAACAGUUUGACAGAGAUGAUUUAUUUUUGAUAAGUCAGAUGUGAAAUUAUGUGGUCUUUCAUUCUUGCUUUUGUCAUUAUUUUUUUUUACGGCUGACAAACCAGAAUAGGUUGCCAAACCCUUUGCAUCAGAGCUUUUUAGAUUGAGGUUUUUCUUUGUAAAACUGCCAAAAUAUUAGUUUCAACUUGAGGUGGGAGUUGAACAGUAUGACAUUUUCACAUAAUCAUAAUCGUACCAAAAAUAUAAACAAUUUGUGUAUGUUACAAUUUUGGUCAUGCCUUUUUGUGUAAAGACAUUACAGGGAUCCCUAUUACAGUUGAACAAGUUUCAUGAUUUGAUACUGAAACCCUUGAUGUCUAAGGGCUCUAUUUUAACAAACGUAAAUGCAAUGAGCCCAAUAGCUGGCGGUGACAUGAAAGGGCUGGGUUUUGAUGAAUGAUCCAGUUGUAGUGUGUCGAGACUUGGCCCCUCACUGGCCAAUCAGAACAUGCUCCAUGGUUGCUUCAAGUUGUUGCAUUUACCGUUUUUUAUGUAUUGUGUUGUCGUCAACUCGAAUUCGAAUGUUAGUCCCAUUAUAACCUAGUUCCUUAAAUAGCCUGCCCCCAUAUUAGCUAAAUAUGUUGAACAUGUUUGCAGUCCACAUUGAUCUAGUUGCAUUUCUUCAAUAUGGAAAUACAUUGUUAACAUAGGCUGUAGCGUUCUCACUAAAAUAAGGGCGAGGCGUACUGUUUAUUUCAUGCUGGACAUGGACAUGCAAAACGUAGUCAAUAAGUGAUAUUACAUUCCCUAGGAUAUUGAUAUAGCCAAAGAAGACAGUAUAUCAUUCUAAUCAAAUUCUAAUACAAAUGGAACCAUAACUUGUUUUAAAUAGGCUAUGUUUAAAUACAGUUACAGGCACCGCAAUUGCUGCGUUGGGCGUAUAAUACAGACAAGGCAAUUUAGACUAUGGAGGGUUUUACGCGCAUCCAAACGGGAUAAAGAUCCAUUAUGAAGAGAAAAGUGUCAUGUCCGCUCACCGUUAUACUGCUCGCAAAUGUAAUGUUCUGUAAACAUUAUGGAACCAUAUCACAGAUCAUAUUUGCACUUCUCCAGAAAUAGCAGAUUAAAUUGCAUUGCAUUUGAGCCUUAAACCAACCUCACCAUAAACACAUGGAGGGUGAAUCUCAAUAAUACGUUAAUCAAGUUAAUCAAACGUUAAACAACGUUAAACAACACGUUAAACAUGUUUUUCAAUCAAUAUUUCUAAAUAUGAUCGGGUCAGAAGCAUGAUAUCAUAAAUCGCUUCUUUCGUUCCAUGGUACUGUGUGCACACGCAGGCCUAAAUGUCUUCACGCAUAACAUUUGCACAUCUACAGUAAACGAAAUACUAGAUUCCUGUCAAUUGUAUCGUUCCCUGUGUGCGAGGUAGAUUCUCCAAAAAUCGCCCAUUGACAUAACAUUAUAGAAGGACUGAAUCAUUUGGAGGAGCGCAUCUUCGGCAAUAGGAGAAGGGAUGGAUAGCCCAUUUGAACAAGCGAAAUUCAGGUAUCCUAUUUCAAGCACCUUUAAUCAUAAGCUACUUGGAUAAUGUCCAGGAUAAAAAGCAGCACCAAUGUGAUCCUGCUAAACCAGCCUUGAUUAAAGGGAGGAUAGGUUGUGCUUGGUUUUCUAGCAAAUGAAACGAAAUGGGGGGGGGGACCAAUCGUUUUUUUAUGUUUAUAAAUAUGAGAUUCACCAGCACAAAAGGCACAGCUUUCCUUCUAUGGGCACUGUGCGUCAUGGCAGGAUAGGCUGCACUUCCUCUCUCAACAUCCAUUCCAUUAUCAACUCUGUUACAUGUUAACACCUGCUUUUUGUGGGUCUUAAAACGUCCCUUUAGAACUGUUAAAAUUGUCACUUGCGCUCGUUUUUAAGGACACACAUCAAAUAUUGGCACCCCCCCCACCACCACCACCACCUCAGCGCCAUCGAGCUGAUUUUAAACAGCUAAAUUGCCAAACCUGGCAUGAGGCCUGGAAAAUGCCAGUGCACCAGUUUUUACACGAGGAAAUUGCAAACUAACGUGCCUUUGACACUCGCGCCUCCUUAGAGCCAGCUGUAAAUAGAGCACUAAAGGUAAUUGGUACUUUUCUGCUUUUAAACUUUUCAGUCUAUUAUUCUAAUCGAGAUCCUAUUAAAUUGUACUUCCCAGUUCUAUCUAGAAUCUAGAAUGUAGAAUUGAGUGUGGUUGUUAUGUGACAUACCCAAAAGGUGCGACAAAUACAACUUGAAUUAACAUAAAAAUUGAAUGAACUAAUAGAACAUGUAAUCACGCUCUAAAACUCAUAUAGUGAGAAUUUUAUAUUUCUUCUCAAUGUCUUUGAUAGAAAUUGUUUUGUAUAGAAAAAAAGGUUUUGAUAUAUGUAUAUAUAGAAUUUGAAGAGUAAAAGAUGACUUUAGGAGGAUGAUGGCUGUGAAGUUUCUGUAAAGACAUUCCUUUGAGAACUAGAAGAACCCCCUAGCUAUGAAGAACCCCCUAGCUAUUAAGAACCAACCCCCUAGCUAUUAAGAACCUCCUUAGCUAUUAAGAACCCCCCUAGCUAUUAAAUACCCCCUAGCUAUGAAGAAUCUCCCUAGCUAUUAAGAGCCUCCCUAACUAUUAAGAACCUCUCUAGCUAUUAAAUAACUCCCUGUGUGUCCCAAAUGGCACCCCAGUCCAUAUAUACGUAGUAACCUAUUUAUAUUACACUAUUUUUGGCCAGAGCCCAAUGGGCCCUGGUCAAAAGUAGUGCACUACAUAGGGAAUAGUGUGUCAUUUAGGAACCAUUCCCAAAUGCCAUAUCUAUCUACACCGGCUAAUAAGUGGAAGCUAUGUGAAACAAACUUUUGAAAAGAUUGAACGAGUUUCAUACAAUUGAUUUUGGUGUCAUGUUUGAUAGGUUUGUUUGUUAGCGCCUCGAAUAAUUAACGACAAACAUAAAAAUCCCCCCCAAAAAACUGAAAGGAAAUGUAGAUUUUUAUUUGUAUAGUUUUUAAUAAAACAUGGACCUUAAAA